AGCAGCCGCCGCGGUAAUACGUAGGGUGCGAGCGUUAAUCGGAAUUACUGGGCGUAAAGCGUGCGCAGGCGGUUAUAUAAGACAGAUGUGAAAUCCCCGGGCUCAACCUGGGAACUGCAUUUGAGACUGUAUGGCUAGAGUGUGUCAGAGGGGGGUAGAAUUCCACGUGUAGCAGUGAAAUGCGUAGAUAUGUGGAGGAAUACCGAUGGCGAAGGCAGCCCCCUGGGAUAACACUGACGCUCAUGCACGAAAGCGUGGGGAGCAAACGGGAUUAGAUACCCCUGUAGUCCCUGUCUCUUAUAC
Molecule: ribosomal RNA, 303 nt
Filed under: uncultured bacterium
Lineage: Bacteria
Description: partial 16S ribosomal RNA
Rfam family: Bacterial small subunit ribosomal RNA
Source: RNAcentral